AAGAACUACAUAUCCCAGAGGACCUCAUGGGCAGAGAAGGAAGAUACAUCACGGAAGAUACGUCAUCUGGUUGCACACGAUCUUUUGCUUUCACUUGCUGCGGGAGAGGAGUGGGUGUGCUUCCAAACCGUGCACCUUCAUCAAUGUUCUACUUAAGAUGAAAUACUGUGGGAGGUCACCCUGUCCAAUUUCAGGAAGGAAGUGUAGAUAUGUUGAGAAUGCAGCCUUGACCACGUUGACCUGGGGAAAUGGAAGGUUUGCUGGGGAGUUAUAAUUGUUGAGGUGUAUGAAUUAAUGCAUCUGGAACUAUUCAGUAUUUUUCCUCCAG
Molecule: long non-coding RNA, 328 nt
Organism: Gallus gallus (chicken)
Lineage: Eukaryota; Metazoa; Chordata; Aves; Galliformes; Phasianidae
Source: Ensembl